Molecule: ribosomal RNA, 526 nt
Filed under: uncultured bacterium
Lineage: Bacteria
Description: bacterial SSU rRNA
Rfam family: Bacterial small subunit ribosomal RNA
Source: RNAcentral
AGAGUUUGAUCAUGGCUCAGAUUGAGCGCUGGCGGCAGGCCUAACACAUGCAAGUCGAAUGGUAACAGGAAAAGCUUGCUGUUUCGCUGACGAGUGGCGGACGGGUGAGUAAUGUCUGGGAAACUGCCUGAUGGAGGGGGAUAACUACUGGAAACGGUAGCUAAUACCGCAUAACGUCGCAAGACCAAAGAGGGGGACCUUCGGGCCUCUUGCCAUCAGAUGUGCCCAGAUGGGAUUAGCUAGUAGGUGGGGUAACGGCUCACCUAGGCGACGAUCCCUAGCUGGUCUGAGAGGAUGACCAGCCACACUGGAACUGAGACACGGUCCAGACUCCUACGGGAGGCAGCAGUGGGGAAUAUUGCACAAUGGGCGCAAGCCUGAUGCAGCCAUGCCGCGUGUAUGAAGAAGACCUUCGGGUUGUAAAGUACUUUCAGCGGGGAGGAAGGGAGUAAAGUUAAUACCUUGCUCAAUUGACGUUACCGCAGAAGAAGCACCGGCUAACUCGUGCCAGCAGCCGCGGUAAUAC